Molecule: ribosomal RNA, 294 nt
Filed under: Bacillus sp. mrc49
Lineage: Bacteria; Bacillati; Bacillota; Bacilli; Caryophanales; Bacillaceae
Description: partial 23S ribosomal RNA
Rfam family: Bacterial large subunit ribosomal RNA
Source: RNAcentral
GGUCCCUAUCCGUCGCGGGCGCAGGAAAUUUGAGAGGAGCUGUCCUUAGUACGAGAGGACCGGGAUGGACGCACCGCUGGUGUACCAGUUGUCUUGCCAAAGGCAUAGCUGGGUAGCUACGUGCGGACGGGAUAAGUGCUGAAAGCAUCUAAGCAUGAAGCCCCCCUCAAGAUGAGAUUUCCCAUGGCGCAAGCUAGUAAGAUCCCUGAAAGAUGAUCAGGUUGAUAGGUCAGAGGUGGAAGCGUGGCGACAUGUGGAGCUGACUGAUACUAAUAGAUCGAGGACUUAACCAAC